Caretta caretta (loggerhead turtle) is the source of this 569-nucleotide non-coding RNA. Lineage: Eukaryota; Metazoa; Chordata; Testudines; Cheloniidae. The record is from RefSeq and is a predicted model, not a curated record.
GUUUUCACGGUCUCUGGGAUUUUGCAGUACUUUUGCCACAGUGCACUCCCAAUCACCAUGGUAUUUAGACUCUAAAUUAAAACCCUCUUCUGAGCCUUGUAAUGAUGCUAACUUCCUGUUUGAAGAGAACUGCCUUCCAGGCCUGGCUUUUUCCACUGCUCUGGAUUCUGUCCUUAAUGAAAUCUUAAAAUAAUGAAGCAUACAUUUUAUUAUAAACAUUAUUAAAAACAGUUUCUUAAACUUCAGUGCUAUGCAGCUGUUUUAUAGUAGGUUACAUGGUAUAAAUAAUUUUCAAUAAUAACAUAAAUAUAAUAUUAAGCUUAUGUGGAUGUAUAUAUUCUGAACUAAAAUAGGGGACUACUGAGAACUUUGCCCACAUGACUUUGAAACUAUGACCUUUCCUUUUCUGUAAUUCCGCCCCUCCCCCCCUUUCUGGUUUAUUUUUAGUCUGAAGUGAGCUAUGGUCCAGGAAGCCAGCACAGCCUUGGAUAUUGUGUCCAACAUAGGUGAAAAAACAGCAACGCGAUGGCAGUAUGAGAAUGGGAUGGGGAGGGAAGAUUUCACUGAGA